AGCAAUGGGGAAUUUUGGANAAUGGGGGAAACCCUGAUCCAGCAAUGCCGCGUGUGCGAAGAAGGCCUUCGGGUUGUAAAGCACUUUUGGCAGGAACGAAACGGCGCCGGAUAAUACCUGGUGUCACUGACGGUACCUGCAGAAUAAGCACCGGCUAACUACGUGCCAGCAGCCGCGGUAAUACGUAGGGUGCAAGCGUUAUCGGAUUCUGGGCGUAAAGCGUGCGCAGGCGGUUCGGAAAGAAAGAUGUGAAAUCCCAGGGCUCAACCUUGGAACUGCAUUUUUAACUCCCGAACUAGAGUAUGUCAGAGGGGGGUGGAAUUCCACGUGUAGCAGUGAAAUGCGUAGAUAUGUGGAGGAACACCGAUGGCGAAGGCAGCCCCCUGGGAUAAUACUGACGCUCAUGCACGAAAGCGUGGGGAGCAAACAGGAUUAGAUACCCUGGUAGUCCACGCCCUAAACGAUGUCAACUAGCUGUCGGGGUUUUUGGACUUUGUAGGGCAGUAACGCGUGAAGUUGACCCCCUGGGGAGUACCGUCGCAAGAUUAAAAUCAAAGGAAUUGACGGGGACCCCCCCAAGCGUGGAUGAUGUGGAUUAAUUCGAUGCAACGGGAAAAACCUUACCUACCCUUGACAUGUCUGAAAUUCCCGAAGAGAUUUGGGAGUGCUCGAAAGAGAAUCGGAACACAGGUGCUGCAUGGCCGUCGUCAGCUCGUGUCGUGAGAUGUUGGGUUAAGUCCCGCAACGAGCGCAACCCUUGUCAUUAGUUGCUACGAAAGGGCACUCUAAUGAGACUGCCGGUGACAAACCGGAGGAAGGUGGGGAUGACGUCAGGUCCUCAUGGCCCUUAUGGGUAGGGCUUCACACGUCAUACAAUGGUCGGGACAGAGGGCAGCCAACCCGCGAGGGGGAGCCAAUCCCAGAAACCCGAUCGUAGUCCGGAUUGCAGUCUGCAACUCGACUGCAUGAAGUCGGAAUCGCUAGUAAUUCGCGGAUUCAGCAUGCCGCGGGAAUA
This 1015-nucleotide ribosomal RNA is filed under the name Pigmentiphaga sp. L18f. Its description in RNAcentral is "bacterial SSU rRNA". It matches the Rfam family "Bacterial small subunit ribosomal RNA", at positions 350 to 1368 of the family's 1533-position model. Lineage: Bacteria; Pseudomonadati; Pseudomonadota; Betaproteobacteria; Burkholderiales; Alcaligenaceae. The record is from RNAcentral.